UUGUUCUAUAGACAUCAUUUC
This 21-nucleotide non-coding RNA is filed under the name Caenorhabditis elegans. The record is from RNAcentral. Lineage: Eukaryota; Metazoa; Nematoda; Chromadorea; Rhabditida; Rhabditidae.